Molecule: ribosomal RNA, 101 nt
Filed under: uncultured bacterium
Lineage: Bacteria
Description: partial 16S ribosomal RNA
Rfam family: Bacterial small subunit ribosomal RNA
Source: RNAcentral
UACACACCGCCCGUCACACCAUGGGAGUUGGUUUUACCCGAAGACGGUGCGCUAACUAGCAAUGGAGGCAGCCGGCCACGGUAGGGUCAGCGACUGGGGUG